GGCGUAGUGGCUCAGUUGGAAUACCCUCUAGCUUAUGUAAUGAGAAGGUCCCCGGUUCGAUCCCGGCAGCAGCCA
Molecule: non-coding RNA, 75 nt
Organism: Mycena leptocephala
Lineage: Eukaryota; Fungi; Basidiomycota; Agaricomycetes; Agaricales; Mycenaceae
Source: the annotation of a GenBank genome assembly